RNAcentral lists this ribosomal RNA (497 nucleotides) under uncultured bacterium. RNAcentral's name for it is "partial 16S ribosomal RNA". It matches the Rfam family "Bacterial small subunit ribosomal RNA", at positions 28 to 507 of the family's 1533-position model. The record is from RNAcentral.
GAUGAACGCUGGCGGCGUGCCUAAUACAUGCAAGUCGAGCGAACAGACGAGGAGCUUGCUCCUCUGACGUUAGCGGCGGACGGGUGAGUAACACGUGGAUAACCUACCUAUAAGACUGGGAUAACUUCGGGAAACCGGAGCUAAUACAGGAUAAUAUAUUGAACCGCAUGGUUCAAUAGUGAAAGACGGUUUUGAUGUCACUUAUAGAUGGAACCGCGCUGCAUUAGCUAGUUGGUAAGGUAACGGCUUACCAAGGCAACGAUGCGUAGCCGACCUGAGAGGGUGAUCGGCCACACUGGAACUGAGACACGGUCCAGACUCCUACGGGAGGCAGCAGUAGGGAAUCUUCCGCAAUGGGCGAAAGCCUGACGGAGCAACGCCGCGUGAGUGAUGAAGGUCUUCGGAUCGUAAAACUCUGUUAGUAGGGAAGAACAAAUGUGUAAGUAACUAUGCACGUCUUGACGGUACCUAAUCAGAAAGCCACGGCUAACUACGUG